Molecule: ribosomal RNA, 253 nt
Filed under: uncultured bacterium
Lineage: Bacteria
Description: partial 16S ribosomal RNA
Rfam family: Bacterial small subunit ribosomal RNA
Source: RNAcentral
UACGAGGGGUGCAAGCGUUGCUCGGAAUUAUUGGGCGUAAAGAGCUCGUAGGCGGUCUGUUGCGUCUGCUGUGAAAACCCGGGGCUUAACCCCUGGCUUGCAGUGGAUACGGACAGACUAGAGGUAGGUAGGGGAGAAUGGAAUUCCCGGUGUAGCGGUGAAAUGCGCAGAUAUCGGGAGGAACACCGGUGGCGAAGGCGGUUCUCUGGGCCUUACCUGACGCUGAGGAGCGAAAGCGUGGGGAGCGAACAGG